GACGAACGCUGGCGGCGUGCUUAACACAUGCAAGUCGAACGGAAAGGCCCUGCUUUUGUGGGGUGCUCGAGUGGCAAACGGGUGAGUAACACGUGAGUAACCUGCCCUUUACUUUGGGAUAACUUCAGGAAACUGGGGCUAAUACCGGAUAGGAGCUCCUGCUGCAUGGUGUGGGUUGGAAAGUUUCGGCGGAUGGGGAUGGACGCGCGGCUUAUCAGCUUGUUGGUGGGGUAGUGGCUUACCAAGGCUUUGACGGGUAGCCGGCCUGAGAGGGUGACCGGCCACAUUGGGACAGAGAUACGGCCCAGACGCCUACGGGAGGCAGCAGUGGGGAAUAUUGCACAAUGGGCGGAAGGCUGAUGCAGCAACGCCGCGUGCGAGAUGACGGCCUUCGGGUUGUAACCCGCUUUCGCCUGUGACGAAGCGUGAGUGACGGUAAUGGGUAAAGAAGCACCGGCUAACUACGUG
This 468-nucleotide ribosomal RNA is filed under the name uncultured bacterium. Its description in RNAcentral is "partial 16S ribosomal RNA". It matches the Rfam family "Bacterial small subunit ribosomal RNA", at positions 28 to 507 of the family's 1533-position model. The record is from RNAcentral.